AUUGAACGCUGGCGGCAGGCCUAACACAUGCAAGUCGAACGGUAACAGGAAGAAGCUUGCUUCUUUGCUGACGAGUGGCGGACGGGUGAGUAAUGUCUGGGAAACUGCCUGAUGGAGGGGGAUAACUACUGGAAACGGUAGCUAAUACCGCAUAACGUCGCAAGACCAAAGAGGGGGACCUUCGGGCCUCUUGCCAUCGGAUGUGCCCAGAUGGGAUUAGCUUGUUGGUGGGGUAACGGCUCACCAAGGCGACGAUCCCUAGCUGGUCUGAGAGGAUGACCAGCCACACUGGAACUGAGACACGGUCCAGACUCCUACGGGAGGCAGCAGUGGGGAAUAUUGCACAAUGGGCGCAAGCCUGAUGCAGCCAUGCCGCGCGUAUGAAGAAGGCCUUCGGGUUGUAAAGUACUUUCAGCGGGGAGGAAGGGAGUAAAGUUAAUACCUUUGCUCAUUGACGUUACCCGCAGAAGAAGCACCGGCUAACUCCGUGCCAGCCGCCGCGGUAA
RNAcentral lists this ribosomal RNA (506 nucleotides) under uncultured bacterium. Its description in RNAcentral is "partial 16S ribosomal RNA". It matches the Rfam family "Bacterial small subunit ribosomal RNA", at positions 30 to 523 of the family's 1533-position model. The record is from RNAcentral.